RNAcentral lists this ribosomal RNA (498 nucleotides) under uncultured bacterium. RNAcentral's name for it is "partial 16S ribosomal RNA". It matches the Rfam family "Bacterial small subunit ribosomal RNA", at positions 28 to 507 of the family's 1533-position model. The record is from RNAcentral.
GACGAACGCUGGCGGCGUGCCUAAUACAUGCAAGUCGAGCGAACCAAUAAGAAGCUUGCUUUUUGUUGGGUAGCGGCGGACGGGUGAGUAACACGUGGGUAACCUGCCUGUAAGACCGGGAUAACUCCGGGAAACCGGUGCUAAUACCGGAUAGAUCAUCUUUCCGCAUGGAGAGAUAAGGAAAGAUGGCUAUUGCCAUCACUUACAGAUGGGCCCGCGGCGCAUUAGCUAGUUGGUGAGGUAACGGCUCACCAAGGCGACGAUGCGUAGCCGACCUGAGAGGGUGAUCGGCCACACUGGGACUGAGACACGGCCCAGACUCCUACGGGAGGCAGCAGUAGGGAAUCUUCCGCAAUGGACGAAAGUCUGACGGAGCAACGCCGCGUGAGCGAAGAAGGUCUUCGGGUCGUAAAGCUCUGUUGUUAGGGAAGAACAAGUAUCGGAGGAAAUGCCGGUACCUUGACGGUACCUGACGAGAAAGCCACGGCUAACUACGUG